Hirundo rustica (Barn swallow) is the source of this 105-nucleotide small nuclear RNA. NCBI's taxonomy places the organism in Eukaryota, Metazoa, Chordata, Aves, Passeriformes, Hirundinidae. The record is from RefSeq and is a predicted model, not a curated record.
GUCAUGUCAGCAGCACAGGUACCGAAACUGGAACAAUACAGAGAACAUCAGCAUGGAUUCUGCGCAGGGACACCACAGAAAUUCGUUGAGGAUUCCAUUUUUUUU